GUACUCGCUUCGGCAGUACAUUUACUCAAAUUGGAACGAUACAGAAAUGAUUAGCAUGACAAUGCGCAAGGAUGACUCGUAAAAUCGUCAAGCAUUCUGUAUUUAG
This 106-nucleotide small nuclear RNA is filed under the name Schistocephalus solidus. Lineage: Eukaryota; Metazoa; Platyhelminthes; Cestoda; Diphyllobothriidea; Diphyllobothriidae. The record is from RNAcentral.